Molecule: unclassified non-coding RNA, 249 nt
Filed under: uncultured fungus
Lineage: Eukaryota; Fungi
Description: sequence contains ITS1
Source: RNAcentral
GAACACGCCAACGGGCCACGCUCGGAAGCUUUCGUAAGCGCAGCGCCGGGGUGCAAAUCCCCGCUUAGCGGACCGCCUCGGCCUCCCCGAGGCCGUUUGUUGACAACCUAACCUUGUCUGCCUAUUAUCCCAUCCAUGUGGAUGGUAGGUGGAUGGGUAUAGGAUGGCGCAGAGGCAAUUGCAGGAGGCGCGGCGAAAGGAAUCCGAGUCGGAAAAGAUCACCAUCAAUCUCGGCUUCGUCGAUCUUGG